RNAcentral lists this ribosomal RNA (1241 nucleotides) under metagenome. RNAcentral describes it as "bacterial LSU rRNA". It matches the Rfam family "Bacterial large subunit ribosomal RNA", at positions 1564 to 2815 of the family's 2925-position model. The record is from RNAcentral.
UGAAUACGAGACGCUAAGGCGUCGAAGUAGUGUAUGUCAUACUUCCAAGAAAAGCUUGCACUGUCAUAGAUAAAAAACGCCUGUACCAUAACCGACACAGGUGGGUAGGUAGAGUAUACUAAGGGGCGCGAGAUAACUCUCUCUAAGGAACUCGGCAAAAUAACUCCGUAACUUCGGGAGAAGGAGUGCCUUAUUCGUAAGGUUGCAAUAACAAGAUCCAAGCAACUGUUUAUCAAAAACACAGGUCUCCGCUAAGUCGUAAGACGAUGUAUGGGGGCUGACGCCUGCCCAGUGCCAGAAGGUUAAAGAAGUUGGUUAGCAAUUGCGAAGCUGAUAACUGAAGCCCUGGUGAACGGCGGCCGUAACAAUAACGGUCCUAAGGUAGCGAAAUUCCUUGUCGGGUAAGUUCCGACCCGCACGAAAGGCGUAAUGAUUUGGAUACUGUCUCGGAGAGGGGCUCGGUGAAAUAGACUUGUCUGUGAAGAUGCGGACUACCUGCACCAGGACAGAAAGACCCUAUGAAGCUUUACUGUAACUUGAAAUUGAAAUUGGACUUUAUUCGCGCAGUAUAGGUGGGAGGCGUUGAUUAUAAUCUUGUGGGAUUAUUGGAGCCAUCAGUGAGAUACCACUCUUGUAAUGUUAGAUUUCUAACUUUGAAUCAUUAUCUGGUCAAAGAACAGUUUCAGGCGGGCAGUUUGACUGGGGCGGUCGCCUCCUAAACGGUAACGGAGGCGUACAAAGGUUUCCUCUGAACGGUUAGAAAUCGUAUCUAGAGUGUAAAGGCAUAAGGAAGCUUGACUGUGAGACCUACAAGUCGAGCAGGGACGAAAGUCGGUCUUAGUGAUCUGACGGUACUGAGUGGAAAGGCCGUCACUCAACGGAUAAAAGUUACUCUAGGAUAACAGGCUGAUCUCCCCCAAGAGUUCACAUCGACGGGGAGGUUUGGCACCUCGAUGUCGGCUCAUCGCAUCCUGGGGCGGUAGUACGUCCCAAGGGUUGGGCUGUUCGCCCAUGAAAGCGGUACGCGAGCUGGGUUCAGAACGUCGUGAGACAGUUCGGUCCAUAUCCGGUGUAGGCGUUAGAAUAUUGAGAGGAGCCUUCUUUAGUACGAGAGGACCGAGAAGGACAUACCUCUGGUGUACCAGUUAUCGUGCCAACGGUAAACGCUGGGUAGCUAUGUAUGGAGUGGAUAACCGCUGAAAGCAUCUAAGUGGGAAGCCCACCUCAAAGUAAGUAUUCUC